This 831-nucleotide ribosomal RNA is filed under the name Entrophospora claroidea. Its description in RNAcentral is "partial 28S ribosomal RNA". It matches the Rfam family "Eukaryotic large subunit ribosomal RNA", at positions 1 to 649 of the family's 3401-position model. Lineage: Eukaryota; Fungi; Glomeromycota; Glomeromycetes; Entrophosporales; Entrophosporaceae. The record is from RNAcentral.
AAGUGCUUGGCCGAGAUCGUGAAUUUUUUAACAAAUGACCUCAAAUCAGGCAAGAAUACCCGCUGAACUUAAGCAUAUCAAUAAGCGGAGGAAAAGAAACUAACAAGGAUUCCCCUAGUAACGGCGAGUGAAGAGGGAAGAGCUCAAAUUUUAAAUCUGCCUUGUUUCAAGGUCGAGUUGUAAUUUGAAGAAGCGUUUUCUUGGGCUCGCGGCCGGUAGAAGUUCUUUGGAACAGGACAUCAUAGAGGGUGACAAUCCCGUCUGCGACCGGUCGUGCGUUCAUCUACGAUACGCUUUCAAAGAGUCGAGUUGUUUGGGAUUGCAGCUCCAAAUGGGUGGUAAACAUCACCUAAGGCUAAAUAUUGGCGAGAGACGAUAGCGAACAAGUACCGUGAGGGAAAGAUGAAAAGAACUUUGAAAAGAGAGUUAAACAGUACGUGAAAUUGUUGAAAGGGAAACGAUUGAAGUCAGUCGUGCUGGCGCGAAAUCAACCCUCUCGUCGAGAGGACACAUGGCGUGGCGAGCCUCAAAACCGUCACGAAGCGUGAACUCUUGGCGAAAAGGAGCACUUUCGUGUCCGCUGGUUAACAUCAAUUUCGAACGUCAUAAAAAGGCUGGAGGGAUGUGGCUCCUUCGGGAGUGUUAUAACCUUUAGCGGAAUGUGGUGGUCGGGAUUGAGGAUUGCAACGAAUACCUUUAGGGCUGUUCCACCUGGCCUCUCUUUGGUAUCCUGGUGACGACAGCUUGCUGACGUUGUUAGGAUUCGCCAUUGAACAGGCUAGAGUGUGAGCAAAUUCGUUAAGGAUGUUAACGUAAUGGCUUUAAACGACC